This 297-nucleotide long non-coding RNA is filed under the name Zalophus californianus (California sea lion). Its description in RNAcentral is "lncRNA (ENSZCAG00015008905.1)". Lineage: Eukaryota; Metazoa; Chordata; Mammalia; Carnivora; Otariidae. The record is from RNAcentral.
CGCAGACCCGGGAUGUGCAUUUCCUGGAAUUCCUGGCCGGCCCUGUGGACAAGCCCGAGAUCCCCCGGCCGGCCGUGGCCUGCCCGAAAUCGCAGGUCCCGGGACGCAGGGUUGGAGCCACCUGUGGGCUCAGGCUCCAGGCGCCUAGCCGGCUCUGCCUCCCGCCUGGGCCCUCGAGCAGCAUUCAAGCUACCGCCUGGGCGUCUGCAGCGUGCCGGGGCCGAGCUGGAAGCGGGGAACGGUGGUUUGCUCCCGGGGCAGCAGAUAAACCAGCACCAUCCAUUUGAUAUGAUAUGA